Molecule: ribosomal RNA, 708 nt
Filed under: uncultured bacterium
Lineage: Bacteria
Description: bacterial SSU rRNA
Rfam family: Bacterial small subunit ribosomal RNA
Source: RNAcentral
AGUAGAGUGGCAAACGGGUGAGUAACGCGUGGGCGACCUACCUUCGAGUGGGGGAUAACCUUCCGAAAGGAGGGCUAAUACCGCAUGACAUCCCGUGUUUGGAUACACGGACAUCAAAGUCGGGGAUCGCAAGACCUGACGCUUGGAGAGGGGCCCGCGUCCGAUUAGCUAGUUGGUGGGGUAAUGGCCCACCAAGGCUUCGAUCGGUAUCCGGCCUGAGAGGGCGGACGGACACACUGGGACUGGGACACGGCCCAGACUCCUACGGGAGGCAGCAGUAGGGAAUUGUUCGCAAUGGGCGCAAGCCUGACGACGCAACGCCGCGUGGAGGAUGAAGACUUUCGGGUCGUAAACUCCUUUCGAUCGAGAUGAAUACGCACCGGCCUAAUAUGCCGGUGCGCUGACAGUAUCGGGAGAAGAAGCCCCGGCUAACUCCGUGCCAGCAGCCGCGGUAAUACGGGGGGGGCAAGCGUUGUUCGGAAUUACUGGGCGUAAAGGGUUCGUAGGUGGCCGGCUAAGUCAGACGUGAAAUCCCUCAGCUCAACUGGGGAACUGCGUCUGAGACUGGUCGGCUUGAGUGCAGGAGAGGAACGCGGAAUUCCAGGUGUAGCGGUGAAAUGCGUAGAUAUCUGGAGGAACACCGGUGGCGAAGGCGGCAUUCUGGACUGUUACUGACACUGAGGAACGAAAGCCAGGGGAGCAAACGGG